This 411-nucleotide ribosomal RNA is filed under the name Apocephalus sp. 564 JMH-2018. RNAcentral describes it as "partial 16S ribosomal RNA". It matches the Rfam family "Bacterial large subunit ribosomal RNA", at positions 1802 to 2532 of the family's 2925-position model. The record is from RNAcentral. Lineage: Eukaryota; Metazoa; Arthropoda; Insecta; Diptera; Phoridae.
GUUUAUCAAAAACAUGUCUUUUAGGAAUAUAUUAAAAGUCUAAUCUGCCCACUGAAUAAAUUUAAAUGGCCGCAGUAUUUUAACUGUGCAAAGGUAGCAUAAUCAUUAGUCUUUUAAUUGGAGGCUGGAAUGAAUGAUUGAAUGAGAUAUAAACUGUUUCAUAAAAAUUUAUAGUAUAAUUUUAUUUUUUAGUUAAAAAGCUAAAAUUUAAUUAAAAGACGAGAAGACCCUAUAAAUCUUUAUAUUUUAUUGGGGUGAUAUUAAAAUUUAAUUAACUUUUAAUAAAUUAUGUACAUUAAUUUAUGUUUUUUUGAUCCAUAAUUAAUGAUUAAAAAAUUAAGUUACUUUAGGGAUAACAGCGUAAUUUUUUUUGAUAGUUCAUAUUGAUAAAAAAGAUUGCGACCUCGAUGU